This 215-nucleotide ribosomal RNA is filed under the name Enterobacter hormaechei. RNAcentral's name for it is "partial 23S ribosomal RNA". It matches the Rfam family "Bacterial large subunit ribosomal RNA", at positions 12 to 227 of the family's 2925-position model. Lineage: Bacteria; Pseudomonadati; Pseudomonadota; Gammaproteobacteria; Enterobacterales; Enterobacteriaceae. The record is from RNAcentral. RNAcentral also lists the same sequence under 1 other name.
CUAAGCGUACACGGUGGAUGCCCUGGCAGUCAGAGGCGAUGAAGGACGUGCUAAUCUGCGAAAAGCGCCGGCGAGGUGAUAUGAACCCUUGACCCGGCGAUGUCCGAAUGGGGAAACCCAGUGUGUUUCGACACACUAUCGUUAACUGAAUACAUAGGUUAACGAGGCGAACCGGGGGAACUGAAACAUCUAAGUACCCCGAGGAAAAGAAAUCA